AACGAACGCUGGCGGCAUGCCUAACACAUGCAAGUCGAACGAGACCUUCGGGUCUAGUGGCGCACGGGUGCGUAACGCGUGGGAAUCUGCCCUUGGGUUCGGAAUAACAGUUGGAAACGACUGCUAAUCCCGGAUGAUGACGUAAGUCCAAAGAUUUAUCGCCCCAGGAUGAGCCCGCGUAGGAUUAGCUAGUUGGUGAGGUAAAGGCUCACCAAGGCGACGAUCCUUAGCUGGUCUGAGAGGAUGAUCAGCCACACUGGGACUGAGACACGGCCCAGACUCCUACGGGAGGCAGCAGUGGGGAAUAUUGGACAAUGGGCGAAAGCCUGAUCCAGCAAUGCCGCGUGAGUGAUGAAGGCCUUAGGGUUGUAAAGCUCUUUUACCCGGGAUGAUAAUGACAGUACCGGGAGAAUAAGCUCCGGCUAACUCCGUG
RNAcentral lists this ribosomal RNA (433 nucleotides) under uncultured bacterium. Its description in RNAcentral is "partial 16S ribosomal RNA". It matches the Rfam family "Bacterial small subunit ribosomal RNA", at positions 29 to 507 of the family's 1533-position model. The record is from RNAcentral.